UGCAUUGUUUUAUAGCUUGAUUGUGGGU
This 28-nucleotide non-coding RNA is filed under the name Mus musculus (house mouse). The record is from RNAcentral. Lineage: Eukaryota; Metazoa; Chordata; Mammalia; Rodentia; Muridae.